AGAGGAGAGAGGUGACCGCUCUACCAACUGCUCCUUUGAUUUAUUGUGUUUACUUUCUACUCUUAUUUGUAGCGUGUUUUCAGAGUGUUUUUCCCCUGUUAAUAUUCGCUCUAUGACAUGUAUGUGAAGAGUGCAUUUAACGGAGAGGAAUUAUAUAAAGACUCGUGAAACUACCAUCGUUGGCGUUGUCUUUUCCUAUUCAUCCUGGGCAGACUUACAACUCUGACAGCGUUACAAGUGCCAUUUCAAUUUUUCUCCAAAAAUCAGCAUGAUUAAAAUGUGAUAUUAAAUUACUACAAACAAUAAUUUAAUUACAAAUACAAAAUGUUGCAGAAUAAUGAAAUAUAUGAAUGAAUAAUAGCCUAAAGAACCUUUGUGCAAAAAGGGUUCUUUCUUGUCAUUAUAGAACAUUUUUAGCAUAAAAGGUUCUUUAGAGUUGAGUAAAGAACCAUAUGGUUCUAUAUAGAACCCCAAUUAACCCUUUUUUUUUAAAAAUGUCCAAUCCGUGCGCUCAGAUUUUGUAAACCGUACCCUCCGUUUUUGAAUCUGUAGCCACAAAUUCAUAAUCUGCGCGCGCACUUUCGCAAUCCGUUCCCAUGGAUUUGUAAACUGUAGCCCACUCACGGAUUCAUGCAGCAAGCUCCUACGUGUUAACUUACGGUUUUAAUGAAUAUUAUUAUGUGGAAUGGGUCUACAGCAAAGUGUCUUGAGUGAUUCUCUGUAUGUUUUUCUCAUACAGGUGAAACAUUGUUGAAAACAUGCAGCCUGUCUCUACUGUGGAGUCGCCGGCUUUCAGGCAGCUCCUUAGCAUGAUAACAUAUACUUCAUUUUUAAACAGCAUUUACAUAUUUAUAAGUAUGUAUGUAUUUAUGUUUCUCAAAAUUUAUUUUGAAUCAUUCAGAAUGCUUUCAUUUAUUUAUUUCUAAAUGUUUUGUGUUAUGUUGUCCACUGUUCAUAGUUUUCAUAUUUAAGCUGUGAAAGGAAAAUUUUUAAGGGCUCAACACAACAGCUUUUGUGAUGCAGAAGCCACUUUAGUUUCUGAUUCUGAAUAUAUUAUUCAGGUGUUUUGUUAUUUAUUUCAGAAAUUCUUGUGAUGUACAAUAUUCAAUUUGUGUUGGUCUGACUUAACCAAAAUAGUGUUUUAAAAUUACUUUCUGUUUUACUUUGUGUUUGUAUAGACCGUAAUGCAUAAAAGCGCAUUAAUGUGAACAUUAAAGAAAGUUCUUUAAAAAAUGAAAUGCAUUAACAGUAAUGCAUUACUUUUUGUAAUAAGUAGUAAUAAAGUAAUUGAGUUACUUUUUGAAUUAACUUAUUUCUUAGUAACUAGCACAACACUGUUAGUCAUAAAGCAAAUCAAAGAGGUAGAGUGAUGGGUUAGAGAUGAGAUUGAGCAGAGAAUCCCAACCAACCUCAUAACAUUAUCUCAUCAUUAACUCAUUACCCUAUCAUUAACCCAGAUAGAAAUGGGGUAGAGUGAUGGAUUAGUGUAGAGUUAGUGAUGAAUUCACUUCAUGGGUUAGUGAUGUGAUAGAGGACUAGAGAAAAGGUUGGGAAUCCAUGAUCUACAUCAUUACAGAUUACUUUAUCUGAUCAUUAACCCAUUAUCAUAUAAUUAACCCAGUUAGCAAUGGGGUAGCAUGAUGGAUUAGUGUAGGGUCAGUGAAGAAUUCAAGUGAUAGAUUAGUGAUGAGAUUGGUUGGGUUCAUUUCUGACAUUUGGUUCCUCUAUUAGUAAAAUAGAUUUGUCAUGUCUAUUUGGAGGAAGUUUUUACCAAACAAAAAGACUAAGUCGGUUUAUUGAGGCAGCCUGCUGAGCUAUGUUUCUCUCACAGUGAAGCUCAUAGUAACCUUUAGUGGAGUACGAUAAAAAUCUCCACCAUUCAUGUGCCAGAACAUCUGCAAUAAAUGACAAAACACAAUGAGAUGCUCUCAAAUUAACAUUCUGCAAUGACCUUGAUGACUCACAGUGAGAAUUUUCAUUCGUAUCUUUAUCUCUCAGGUGAUCUACCAUCUUUCUCCCUAUAAUUUAAUUCAAGCUUUUCUGAGAAGUGGCUGGCCUGAAUCUUUCCUCAGUGUAUCAUCAAGCUGUUUGGCUGGAUUCACCAGCAUUAUAGCUCUGUUUCUGGACUAGAGAAGGAUGCCUAGGGAAAUCAUAAACCAUAGGAUUAGACACAAAACAUCAAGACUCUGUAGAAGAAGGCCAUGACGGUCAUUAUGGAGUCGAGAGUAUCUGAGGAUUUGGCAACACGAUGUAUUCUCCUCGCAGCAUUAAAUGUGAUUCAUGAUUCAUGACUAAAAAACCAAGGAGUUUUCCUUCUGGUAAGACUCCACAUCUUCAGCUUAAGCUCAAGGAUCAAACUGACAUGAAUAAAUAAAGAAGCCUCGGGACACAAGAGUCUUUUCCACCCCAAAAUCCCUUCAGCUCAAACAUCAGCACAGACCCAACGAAAUCUCAAACGCUCCAGACAUCUCAGCCUCCGGAGGAGUGUGUGUUCGCAUGAGCCCAGUGAAAAGUAAUUUCUAAAGCUACCAGAGGCCGCAGCGAACAUUCACUAAUGCAUUACUGCCCACAAAGAAGCAGGAAGCGGCAGAGCGGCACAGAGAACACAUUCAGCCUGAGGAACACCAGUGACUGCCAAACAUUCAGAGGUGGGAACAACUGUUGGAACAGAGACAGAGAUCGGAGAAGGACAGACUGGAGGGCACAGCUGCGGAACGAGAGAGAGAGAGAGAGGAGAUCUGCAAUGCCCACUGAACACUGCCUUAAAUAUUCCCAAGUGAAUCUAACCGAAAAACAUAUUAAGCAAGGAUACAUUAGAUUUAUGAAGAGUGAAGUAGUUUAUAUAUUAUACAGUAUAUAUCUGAAGUAAAGGCAUUUGUGAUGAUACACACAAGAUGUUUAUUUCAAAUAAAUGCUGUUCUUUUGAUCUUUCUACACAUCAGAAAAUCCUGAAAAAAAGUAUCAUGGUUUUAUGAAAAAUAUUAAGCUUCACAACUUGUCUUCAACAUUGAUAAUAAUCAGAAAUGUCAGAAUGAUUUCUGAAGGAUCAUGUGACACUGAAGACUGGUGUAAUGAUGCUGAAAUAAACAUAUUGUAAAAAUAUUUAACAUUAAAAUUGAUAAUAUCUAUAGUUAUAUUAAUAUAUAUUUUUAUAUUCAGCAAUUUUAUAUUAAUAAACUGAA
This is a long non-coding RNA of Carassius gibelio (silver crucian carp), 3182 nucleotides long. RefSeq lists it as uncharacterized. The transcript has 4 exons. The record is from RefSeq and is a predicted model, not a curated record. Lineage: Eukaryota; Metazoa; Chordata; Actinopteri; Cypriniformes; Cyprinidae.